CGCAAAUAUUCUGAAGGACUGAGACGCUUAAGCCUGAUGAGAUCCAUAGCUUAAACGGAGGGCGAGGAGCGAAACACAGUGUCUUGCAAUAUAGGCACAGGGGAACAAAGAAACUUCUGUUCACCUCAGCUUUACGUAAGUGGGAAUAGAGCAGGAGCCAGGCUAACCAUCACCUGUCCUGCUGCCAAGUUCCUGCAGAGGUUCCUCCACAUUAAUCACGCUGUUUAAUCACGGCCAUCUGUUCCAACAGCCAGCUAUGUGGCAGUCCCUCGGGGCUGGGACACACCCACACCCACCCCCCGCGACGGUACCCGAGGCAGGUGGAGCUCGGUGAGGGGUGAAGGCGGCCCCUAGGGCGGGGAAGGUCGAGCAGCACCUGGAGGCGGCGGGGAGGAGGCCGGGGGCCGAGCUGUGGAGGCCAUUUGCCGGCGGGCGGGUGCGAGUGUCCCAGCCUUCACUGAAGCAGACCAGAUUCUAAAUCUUCAUACUUUGUACCAUUUCAAGCCAGUCUGUUGUCAGCUGCAACUGGUUCUUUUCAUCUUUUGUGGUAAAUGUCAGGUUUCAGAGCUGGAACUUGCUGUGUGUUUUGAAGGCAGCCAAGAAGGAACUUUAAUGGCUCUCCUGGAAGUUGUUCAAAAGCCACUCCCAUUGACUGCAUCGGACAUUGGAUAAGGCCCCAAAAGCAAUUUCCAGGGAGGUAGAAGGUAAGGGAUAAUAAUUUGAAUACUAUAGGCCUGUAUUAAGAAUGCUUCUGGAAGGUGACAUUAAAAUUUCCAAGUGUAUCUUUUAGCCAUACAAAAAAUAUAUC
RNAcentral lists this long non-coding RNA (808 nucleotides) under Calidris pugnax (ruff). RNAcentral describes it as "lncRNA (ENSCPUG00000014226.1)". The record is from RNAcentral. Lineage: Eukaryota; Metazoa; Chordata; Aves; Charadriiformes; Scolopacidae.